GGAUAAACGCUGGCGGCGUGCAUGAGACAUGCAAGUCGAACGAACGAGCUUGCUCGUUAGUGGCGGACGGCUGAGUAACGCGUAGGUGACCUGCCCCGAAGUGGGGGAUAACUGCCCGAAAGGGUGGCUAAUACCGCAUGUGGCGACGCUUUCAUUGGCGUCAUCAAAGCCGCGAGGCGCUUCGGGAGGGGCCUGCGUCCGAUUAGCUCGUUGGUGGGGUAAUGGCUCACCAAGGCGACGAUCGGUAGGUGGUCUGAGAGGACGAUCACCCAGACUGGGACUGAGACACGGCCCAGACUCCUACGGGAGGCAGCAGUCGGGAAUUUUGCUCAAUGGGCGCAAGCCUGAAGCAGCAACGCCGCGUGCGGGAUGAAGGCCUUCGGGUUGUAAACCGCUUUUGUCAGGGACGAUGAUGACGGUACCUGGCGAAUAAGUCACGGCUAACUACGUGCCAGCAGCCGCGGUAAUACGUAGGUGACCAGUGUUGUCCGGAUUUACUGGGCGUAAAGAGCGCGCAGGCGGUCGUUCAAGUCGAGUGUGAAAGCCCCCGGCUCAACUGGGGAGGGUCAUUCGAUACUGAUCGACUAGAAGGCAGGAGAGGGAAGCGGAAUUCCCGGUGUAGUGGUGAAAUGCGUAGAUAUCGGGAGGAACACCAGUGGCGAAGGCGGCUUCCUGGCCUGUUCUUGACGCUGAGGCGCGAAAGCUAGGGGAGCAAACGGGAUUAGAUACCCCGGUAGUCCUAGCCGUAAACGAUGGACACUAGGUGUUGGUGGUAUCAACCCCACCAGUGCCGAAGCUAACG
Molecule: ribosomal RNA, 802 nt
Filed under: uncultured bacterium
Lineage: Bacteria
Description: bacterial SSU rRNA
Rfam family: Bacterial small subunit ribosomal RNA
Source: RNAcentral